UCCGAGUUGACCCCGGCAGUCUCCCUAGAGUUCUCAGCCGAACUGCUAGCAACUAGGGAUAGGGGUUGCGCUCGUUACGGGACUUAACCCAACAUCUCACGACACGAGCUGACGACGGCCAUGCAGCACCUGUCUUACAGUUCCCGAAGGCACCCUCCCAUCUCUGGAAGGUUCUGUAGAUGUCAAGGCCAGGUAAGGUUCUUCGCGUUGCGUCGAAUUAAACCACAUGCUCCACCGCUUGUGCGGGCCCCCGUCAAUUUCUUUGAGUUUUAAUCUUGCGACCGUACUUCCCAGGCGGCGCAUUUAUCGCGUUAGCUUCGCCACAAACGGGGUCGAUUCCGUUUACAGCAAAUGCGCACCGUUUACAGCCAAGACUAC
Molecule: unclassified non-coding RNA, 378 nt
Filed under: uncultured bacterium
Lineage: Bacteria
Description: contains 16S-23S intergenic spacer region
Source: RNAcentral